UAAGUUAUUAAGGGCGCACGGUGGAUGCCUUGGCACUAGAAGCCGAUGAAGGACGUUACUAACGACGAUAUGCUUUGGGGAGCUGUAAGUAAGCUUUGAUCCAGAGAUUUCCGAAUGGGGAAACCCAGCAUGAGUUAUGUCAUGUUAUCGAUAUGUGAAUACAUAGCAUAUCAGAAGGCACACCCGGAGAACUGAAACAUCUUAGUACCCGGAGGAAGAGAAAGAAAAUUCGAUUCCCUUAGUAGCGGCGAGCGAAACGGGUAAGAGCCCAAACCAACAAGCUUGCUUGUUGGGGUUGUAGGACACUCUAUACGGAGUUACAAAGGACGACAUUAGACGAAUCAUCUGGAAAGAUGAAUCAAAGAAGGUAAUAAUCCUGUAGUCGAAAAUGUUGUCUCUCUUGAGUGGAUCCUGAGUACGACGGAGCACGUGAAAUUCCGUCGGAAUCUGGGAGGACCAUCUCCUAAGGCUAAAUACUCUCUAGUGACCGAUAGCGAACCAGUACCGUGAGGGAAAGGUGAAAAGCACCCCGGAAGGGGAGUGGAAUAGAACCUGAAACCGUGUGCUUACAAGUAGUCAGAGCCCGUUAAUGGGUGAUGGCGUGCCUUUUGUAGAAUGAACCGGCGAGUUACGAUUUGAUGCAAGGUUAAGCAGUAAAUGUGGAGCCGUAGCGAAAGCGAGUCUGAAUAGGGCGUUUUAGUAUUUUGGUCGUAGACCCGAAACCAGGUGAUCUACCCUUGGUCAGGUUGAAGUUCAGGUAACACUGAAUGGAGGACCGAACCGACUUACGUUGAAAAGUGAGCGGAUGAACUGAGGGUAGCGGAGAAAUUCCAAUCGAACCUGGAGAUAGCUGGUUCUCUCCGAAAUAGCUUUAGGGCUAGCCUCAAGUGAUGAUUAUUGGAGGUAGAGCACUGUUUGGACGAGGGGCCCCUCUCGGGUUACCGAAUUCAGACAAACUCCGAAUGCCAAUUAAUUUAACUUGGGAGUCAGAACAUGGGUGAUAAGGUCCGUGUUCGAAAGGGAAACAGCCCAGACCACCAGCUAAGGUCCCAAAAUAUAUGUUAAGUGGAAAAGGAUGUGGCGUUGCCCAGACAACUAGGAUGUUGGCUUAGAAGCAGCCAUCAUUUAAAGAGUGCGUAAUAGCUCACUAGUCGAGUGACACUGCGCCGAAAAUGUACCGGGGCUAAACAUAUUACCGAAGCUGUGGAUUGUCCUUUGGACAAUGGUAGGAGAGCGUUCUAAGGGCGUUGAAGCAUGAUCGUAAGGACAUGUGGAGCGCUUAGAAGUGAGAAUGCCGGUGUGAGUAGCGAAAGACGGGUGAGAAUCCCGUCCACCGAUUGACUAAGGUUUCCAGAGGAAGGCUCGUCCGCUCUGGGUUAGUCGGGUCCUAAGCUGAGGCCGACAGGCGUAGGCGAUGGAUAACAGGUUGAUAUUCCUGUACCACCUAUAAUCGUUUUAAUCGAUGGGGGGACGCAGUAGGAUAGGCGAAGCGUGCGAUUGGAUUGCACGUCUAAGCAGUAAGGCUGAGUAUUAGGCAAAUCCGGUACUCAUUAAGGCUGAGCUGUGAUGGGGAGAAGACAUUGUGUCUUCGAGUCGUUGAUUUCACACUGCCGAGAAAAGCCUCUAGAUAGAAAAUAGGUGCCCGUACCGCAAACCGACACAGGUAGUCAAGAUGAGAAUUCUAAGGUGAGCGAGCGAACUCUCGUUAAGGAACUCGGCAAAAUGACCCCGUAACUUCGGGAGAAGGGGUGCUCUUUAGGGUUAACGCCCAGAAGAGCCGCAGUGAAUAGGCCCAAGCGACUGUUUAUCAAAAACACAGGUCUCUGCUAAACCGUAAGGUGAUGUAUAGGGGCUGACGCCUGCCCGGUGCUGGAAGGUUAAGAGGAGUGGUUAGCUUCUGCGAAGCUACGAAUCGAAGCCCCAGUAAACGGCGGCCGUAACUAUAACGGUCCUAAGGUAGCGAAAUUCCUUGUCGGGUAAGUUCCGACCCGCACGAAAGGCGUAACGAUUUGGGCACUGUCUCAACGAGAGACUCGGUGAAAUCAUAGUACCUGUGAAGAUGCAGGUUACCCGCGACAGGACGGAAAGACCCCGUGGAGCUUUACUGUAGCCUGAUAUUGAAAUUCGGCACAGCUUGUACAGGAUAGGUAGGAGCCUUUGAAACGUGAGCGCUAGCUUACGUGGAGGCGCUGGUGGGAUACUACCCUAGCUGUGUUGGCUUUCUAACCCGCACCACUUAUCGUGGUGGGAGACAGUGUCAGGCGGGCAGUUUGACUGGGGCGGUCGCCUCCUAAAAGGUAACGGAGGCGCUCAAAGGUUCCCUCAGAAUGGUUGGAAAUCAUUCAUAGAGUGUAAAGGCAUAAGGGAGCUUGACUGCGAGACCUACAAGUCGAGCAGGGUCGAAAGACGGACUUAGUGAUCCGGUGGUUCCGCAUGGAAGGGCCAUCGCUCAACGGAUAAAAGCUACCCCGGGGAUAACAGGCUUAUCUCCCCCAAGAGUUCACAUCGACGGGGAGGUUUGGCACCUCGAUGUCGGCUCAUCGCAUCCUGGGGCUGUAGUCGGUCCCAAGGGUUGGGCUGUUCGCCCAUUAAAGCGGUACGCGAGCUGGGUUCAGAACGUCGUGAGACAGUUCGGUCCCUAUCCGUCGUGGGCGUAGGAAAUUUGAGAGGAGCUGUCCUUAGUACGAGAGGACCGGGAUGGACAUACCUCUGGUGUACCAGUUGUCGUGCCAACGGCAUAGCUGGGUAGCUAUGUGUGGACGGGAUAAGUGCUGAAAGCAUCUAAGCAUGAAGCCCCCCUCAAGAUGAGAUUUCCCAACUUCGGUUAUAAGAUCCCUCAAAGAUGAUGAGGUUAAUAGGUUCGAGGUGGAAGCAUGGUGACAUGUGGAGCUGACGAAUACUAAUCGAUCGAAGACUUAAUCA
This 2922-nucleotide ribosomal RNA is filed under the name Staphylococcus aureus subsp. aureus CIG1605. Its description in RNAcentral is "bacterial LSU rRNA". It matches the Rfam family "Bacterial large subunit ribosomal RNA". Lineage: Bacteria; Bacillati; Bacillota; Bacilli; Caryophanales; Staphylococcaceae. The record is from RNAcentral.